GUGCUUGUGUGCUUCUCACUGUGAUUUUCAGUGAUUUCAGACGCCAACGUCCAUAGGAAAACAUUAUAAAUGCUUUCCUAUGUGCCUGGCUGAAUGCGCGCGCAGCUCCUGCCGCGCAUGCGCAUUCAGCCGCAGAGGAGGAUCGGAGGCGGAGAGGAGGAGGAGAGCACUCCGCCCGGCGCUGGAGAAAAGGUAAGAUUUAAC
Non-coding RNA from Pelobates cultripes (western spadefoot toad), 204 nucleotides. Lineage: Eukaryota; Metazoa; Chordata; Amphibia; Anura; Pelobatidae. The record is from the annotation of a GenBank genome assembly.